This 307-nucleotide unclassified non-coding RNA is filed under the name plant metagenome. RNAcentral's name for it is "partial contains 5.8S ribosomal RNA, internal transcribed spacer 2, and large subunit ribosomal RNA". The stretch from base 1 to 105 matches the Rfam family "5.8S ribosomal RNA", at positions 50 to 154 of the family's 154-position model. The record is from RNAcentral.
GAAAUGCGAUAAGUAAUGUGAAUUGCAGAAUUCAGUGAAUCAUCGAAUCUUUGAACGCACAUUGCGCCCGCCAGUAUUCUGGCGGGCAUGCCUGUCCGAGCGUCAUUUCAACCAUCAAGCCCCCGGGCUUGUGUUGGGGACCUGCUGCUGCCCGCAGGCCCUGAAAACCAGUGGCGGGCUCGCUGUCACACCGAGCGUAGUAGCAAUCACCUCGCUCAGGGCGUGCUGCGGGUUCCGGCCGUUAAACAGCCUUACAAAACCCAAGGUUGACCUCGGAUCAGGUAGGAAGACCCGAUGAACCUAAGAA